AUGCAGCCUGCCGGGUCCGCCUCACGCCUCGCCGUGCUGGUGGCCGUGGUGGUGCUGGCGUCGUCGGCGGCGUGCUGCCGCGCGCAGCUGGCGAGCAACUACUACGCCGGCAAGUGCGGCAACGCGAGCGUGGAGGCCGUCAUCCAGAGCGCCGUCCAGGCCCGCCUCGCGUGGGACAAGCGCAUGGUCGCCGGCCUCCUCCACAUGCUCUUCCACGACUGCUUCGUCCAAGGGUGUGAUGCGUCGCUGCUGCUGGACGGCCCCAACACGGAGAAGACGGCGCCGCAGAACAGCGGCAUCUUCGGCUACGACUUCAUCGACGACAUCAAGUCCGACCUGGAGGCCGCCUGCCCUGGCGUCGUCUCCUGCGCCGACAUCAUCAUAGCCGCGACCAGGGACGCCAUCGCCCUGUGCGGAGGGCCGAGCUAUGCGGUGACCCUGGGCAGGAGGGACGGCAUGGUGUCGGUGUCGUGGAUGGCCGGCGACCUGCCGUCGCCCCACGUCGACAUCCCCACGGCGAUUGCCAUGUUCGCCAAGAAGGGCUUCAACAGCUUCGAGAUGGCCACCCUCAUGGGCGCGCACACGGUGGGGGUGACGCACUGCUCGGUGAUCGAGGACCGCAUGUACAACUUCAACGGCACCGGCAAGGCGGACCCGUCCAUGGACCCGACGUACGCGUGGGUCCUGACAACGUACGCGUGCCAAAAGGGCCAGCCCUUCGACAACAUCGUCUACCUCGACGACCCCUCCAGCAUCCUCAUCUUCGACAGGAGCUACUUCAACCAGAUCAAGAACCGCCGCGGCGUCCUCCCCGUCGACCAGGCGCUGGGCAUCGACCCCGCCACCUCGUGGAUGGUCGAGUUCUUCGCCACCACCGACUUCUUCCCCGCCAUGUUCGCCCACUCGAUCACCAAGAUGGCCGCCCUCGAAGUCAAGACCGGCACCGCCGGCGAGAUCAGGAGAAACUGCCGGGUUACAAACUAA
RNAcentral lists this ribosomal RNA (984 nucleotides) under Triticum aestivum (bread wheat). Its description in RNAcentral is "partial small subunit ribosomal RNA". Lineage: Eukaryota; Viridiplantae; Streptophyta; Magnoliopsida; Poales; Poaceae. The record is from RNAcentral.